This 2934-nucleotide long non-coding RNA is filed under the name Oncorhynchus kisutch (coho salmon). Its description in RNAcentral is "lncRNA (ENSOKIG00005001343.1)". The record is from RNAcentral. Lineage: Eukaryota; Metazoa; Chordata; Actinopteri; Salmoniformes; Salmonidae.
CCUGCAAGACAGGAAUGUCAGUGUUCUGCCAUGGCCAGCGAAGAGCCCGGAUCUCAAUCCCAUUGAGCAUGUCUGGGACCUGUUGGAUCAGAGGGUGAGGGCUACGGCCAUUCCCCCUAGAAAUGUCUGGGAACUUGCAGGUGCCUUGGUGGAAGAGUGGGGUAACAUCUCACAGCAAGAACUGGCAAAUCUGGUGCAGUCCAUGAGGAGGAGAUGCACUGCAGUACUUAAUGCAGCUGGUGGCUUCACCAGAUACUGACUGUUACUUUUGAUUUUGACCCCCCCCCCCCCUUUGUUCAGGGACACAUUAUUUCAUUUCUGUUAGUCACAUGUCUAUGUCUCAGUUGUUGAAUCUUGUUAUGUUCAUACAAAUAUUUACACAUGUUAAGUUUGCUGAAAAUAAACGCAGUUGACAGUGAGAGGAUGUUUAUUUUUUUGCCGAGUUACACAUAUCCUAAAUAUAUAUCCUAAAUAUAUAUCCUAAAUAUAGUUUCAGCUUUAUGAACAAGGAAAUACAGAAUUUUCUCUCUGAAAGGUUUCUUCAGUCGUUGCCCGUAUAUUGGUCUCAACACUGGCUGGCCACGCAAUCUUUCUAUUUCCCACACUCUAUCUAGACAAGUCUCUCAGUCAUAUUGUUUGGCUACUUUUCACUCUCAUAUGCAUCACAAAUGCCAUUGUAACAUUUAUAUCAACCAAUACCUGUCGCAGUAGUACAAAUAUUAGACCAUGAUUGCAUUGUUUGAUUCAAAUGUUUUAUUAAGGAAGUGAACGGUGAAACUUCCUGCCACCACACCCAUUCUCCCUUACUCUUUAGUGUAUUUCGGAGGUAAGAGAUUCCAUUGCAGAGUAGUAUGCAGCCUUGCUUGAGUUACAAAGUAAAGGUGAUUUGAGAAUAGAAAUGACACAUGGCACGGCCAAAGUACCAGAUAUUGGUACUGCUUUGUUUAGUGUUGGCAACUAUAUGCGUACUGGGGUAUAAUGUCCAGCUAGAAGCCAGUGAAGCUAUGGCCUUUUGUCUGGGCUCAUUCAACCAAAAAUCUAAUGAGGAGUAUCUCUACAAAGUUCUUAACUUCAAGUACAAACUGCUUCAGAUCAUGAUUGGAAAGGAAUUCAUCUUGAAUGCACGGAUCAGACUAACCAAUUGCAAAAAGGGAGAGGUGCAGAAAGAUAGUUCCUCUGUCUGGCACUGAUAAAGCAAUGGUGAAAAUGAAGGUAGAGUGUUUAUCACUGCAAAGAUUACUCAAUUAUAAUAGCACCAGACUAACACAGUAAUAGCCUAUAGGACAACAUAAAUAACAAUAGGUAACACUUAACUUUGCACCCAGCAUCAUAACACGUUAUGACACGGUCAUAACAGCUGACAUAACUUGUCCUAAACUGUCAUAAUAUGGUCAAAACACUGUCAGGACACAUAUAUUGAAAUCUGUUGUGACAUAUAUUGCGUUGUUUCAUGACUGGUUAUGACACUUCCUUAAGAGUGUUAAAACCCACAAAAGCUGCCACGGUAGUUAUUUUAUGGCUGCUUAUGACACCUACAUAAAGGUUUCAAAACUCACUAAACCUACCACACAAGACAAAACAUUCCAUUUACAUUUGACAUUUGAGUCAUUUAGCAGACGCUCUGAUUCAGAGCGACUUCCAUUAAACCAUAGCCUACUUUUCAAUAUUAUGUUUAUGUUAUGUAACAUUUACUGAAAUUGACCAUGUUCAAUUAUUUUUGUAAUUGCGCACAAAUUGAUGUCAGACAUGCACCUACCCCAAUGCUCUGCUGCUGAUGACUGGGAUGAAUGCAGGAGAAGAUUUCAGAAGCAGGACAAGACCUCCUUUUUUUUGACUGAUGACUGACAUAACGGCAUGUAUGUGAUAGGCCUAUAUGAUUAUGAUGGUCAUAAUGCUUCAUGACAGUAUCAUAAAGUGCAUUUUCUUAGUCCAAGUAAAGUGGCACAGGAUGGUCAUAAUGCUUCAUGACAGUGUCAUAAAGUGUAUUUUCUACAAGUUAUUUAAAAUAUGAUGAGAAAAAAAAACAUGACUUUAAAGAAUUCAUGACAACAACAACGGACAUAAGAAACACAUUUUCAAAUGAAAGGAAACUUCUUGACGGGGAAAAAAGACAUUUGAUUAAAUGUGGGUUUUCACACUCUUAUGUAGGUGUCAUCUCCUAACAUAAAAUAACGCAAUAUAUGUCACAACAGGUGUAAAUAUAUGGGUUAUGACAGUGUUAUGACCAUAAUAUGACAGGUUAUGACAAGUUAUGUCAGCUGUUAUGACAUAUUAUGACAGGGUUAUGACUGUCAUAACGUGUUAUGAAGCUGGGUGUCAAGGAAAGUGUUAGUGUGAAAGAAUUAUGUUUUGUGCAGUUGAACAUUCUGUUAUUCUUUCUAAGGAAACCUAUUUAUUCUGUUUCAAAUGUUGGGGUGCCGCUUUGUAGUGUUGCUAUACAAGAGCAAAAUGGUGUUGACCCAGAAUGUUUGCAAACCAAUGUAAAAUGAGUCCCUGAAGCAUCAAAAUGUCUAGUCAUUCUCUGGUGACUGGUCUGAAUUUGAUUGUAGCCUAGCUAAACUACUAAUAUUGUGUAAAUGUCAUUAAAUGCCAUAGUUUGGGUCUUGGGACUACAAAUGAUUUAAUGUUCUAGAUUAUUGAAAACAAAUCUCUGUGAAUACAUUUGGUUACGCUUUUUUUGUGUCAAAGGGUCAUUUUGUGAGAGGGGAGCCCAGGCCUGAAAGGAACCCCUGGCACCAUUUUGCUUUGACCUUUAGUGUUCAGUGAUUGCAGAUCUGUAAAACCCAGAAAGGUGUAAGCAAUAAGGCGUUGUCUCCCCGAAUCUUGUUAUAUUACCAUAUUGCUUGCGCCUAUCCCGUUUUAAUAGAUGUGCAAACGCCAAGAGGUUAGGACAUUGGAGGUGGUGACAAAAUAGUGUUCGGACCGGUCCAAAGA